AUACGUAGGUGGCGAGCGUUGUCCGGAUUUACUGGGUGUAAAGGGCGUGUAGGCGGGUUUGUAAGUCAGAUGUGAAAUACCGGGGCUCAACUCCGGGGCUGCAUCUGAAACUGCAGAUCUUGAGUGUUGGAGGGGAAAGUGGAAUUCCUAGUGUAGCGGUGAAAUGCGUAGAUAUUAGGAGGAACACCAGUGGCGAAGGCGGCUUUCUGGCCAAACACUGACGCUGAGGCGCGAAAGCGUGGGGAGCAAACAGGAUUAGAUACCCUGGUAGUCCACGCCGUAAACGAUGGAUACUAGGUAUAGGGAGAUAAUCUCUCUGUGCCGCAGCUAACGUAUUAAGUAUCCCACCUGGGGAGUACGGCCGCAAGGCUGAA
This 374-nucleotide ribosomal RNA is filed under the name uncultured bacterium. RNAcentral describes it as "bacterial SSU rRNA". It matches the Rfam family "Bacterial small subunit ribosomal RNA", at positions 523 to 898 of the family's 1533-position model. The record is from RNAcentral.